UCAAGGAAUAGUUUAAGUAGAAUAUCAACUUUGGG
This 35-nucleotide transfer RNA is filed under the name Pteropus dasymallus yayeyamae. RNAcentral's name for it is "partial tRNA-Pro". The record is from RNAcentral. Lineage: Eukaryota; Metazoa; Chordata; Mammalia; Chiroptera; Pteropodidae.